UCCCUUUACUUUUAUCAAGUAAUGUAAUUUACCUUAUUAAUUUGUAUGAAAUUCCAGCAGUUAAUUUGAACACUUAUUUAUAUGAUGUUUGUAUUCUUAGGUCUUUAAUACAGUGUUUCUACCUCUCAUUGUAAUUGCAUGAAUUAUUCUUGAAACUAGGUAAAAUUCACUGAAUUAUUGUAUAAUAAAUAGCCUUUUUAUUA
Molecule: long non-coding RNA, 203 nt
Organism: Pipistrellus kuhlii (Kuhl's pipistrelle)
Lineage: Eukaryota; Metazoa; Chordata; Mammalia; Chiroptera; Vespertilionidae
Exons: 3
Source: RefSeq, a predicted model, not a curated record